GUCUACAGCCAUCCCACCCUGAACAUGCCUGAUCUUGUCUGAUCUCGGAAGCUGAGCAGGGUCAGGCCUGGUUAGUACUUGGAUGGGAGACCGCCUGGGGUUACAGGGUGCUGUAGGCU
This is a ribosomal RNA of Callithrix jacchus (white-tufted-ear marmoset), 119 nucleotides long. Lineage: Eukaryota; Metazoa; Chordata; Mammalia; Primates; Cebidae. The record is from Ensembl.